AUUGAACGCUGGCGGCAGGCCUAACACAUGCAAGUCGAGCGAGCGGCGGACUGUUGAGUAAUGUUUGGGAAACUGACUGAUGGAGGUGGAUAACUACUGGAAACGGUAGCUAAUACCGCAUACCAUCAGAUGUGCCCAGAUGGGAUUAGCUAGUAGGUGGGGUAACGGCUCACCUAGGCGACGAUCACUAUCUGGUCUGAGAGGAUGACCAGCCACACUGGAACUGAGACACGGUCCAGACUCCUACGGGAGGCAGCAGUGGGGAAUAUUGCACAAUGGGCGCAAGCCUGAUGCAGCCAUGCCGCGUGUGUGAAGAAGGCCUUCGGGUUGUAAAGCACUUUCAGCGGGGAGGCGUUACCCGCAGAAGAAGCACCGGCUAACUCCGUGCCAGCAGCCGCGGUAAUUC
Molecule: ribosomal RNA, 406 nt
Filed under: uncultured bacterium
Lineage: Bacteria
Description: partial 16S ribosomal RNA
Rfam family: Bacterial small subunit ribosomal RNA
Source: RNAcentral